RNAcentral lists this transfer RNA (70 nucleotides) under Loxodonta africana (African savanna elephant). It matches the Rfam family "tRNA". From Rfam's summary of the family: Transfer RNA (tRNA) molecules are approximately 80 nucleotides in length. Lineage: Eukaryota; Metazoa; Chordata; Mammalia; Proboscidea; Elephantidae. The record is from Rfam by way of RNAcentral.
ACUUGGUGGUUUAGUGGUAGAAUUCCCGCCUUCCAUGUGGGAGACCUGGGUUUGACUCCCUGUCCACGUU